This 385-nucleotide ribosomal RNA is filed under the name Apopylus sp. 1 NLG-2013. RNAcentral describes it as "partial 12S ribosomal RNA". The record is from RNAcentral. Lineage: Eukaryota; Metazoa; Arthropoda; Insecta; Coleoptera; Cleridae.
UAAAAUUAAAAAAUUUGGCGGUAUUUUAGUCUUUUCAGAGGAACCUGUUCUAUAAUUGAUAGUCCACGAUUUAAUUUACUUAUUUUAUUAAUUUAUAUAUCAUCGUAGUAAGAGUAUUUUUAAAGAAUUAAAAUAUUCAAGAUUAAAGAUUAUUAAAUAAAUCAGAUCAAGGUGUAGUUUAUAAAUAAGAAGAAAUGGGUUACAAUAAAAAAAUUUUUAUGAAUAAGUUUUUGUUAGGAAUUUUAAAAUUGGAUUUGAAAGUAAUAUAAUUUUAAAUAUUUUAUGUGAUUUAAGCUCUAAAAUAUGUACAUAUUGCCCGUCGCUUUUGUUUUAAGAUGAAAUAAGUCGUAACAAAGUAGAUUUACUGGAAAGUGAAUCUAGAAGA